UGCACAUGUUUGAAGGCCAAAUUAUAUAAACUGUAAACCAGCUUUUAAAUUGUACAAUGACAUGUUUGCCCUCAGUUUACAAGAAAAAAUAGAAAAGUGGCGGUGGCACUGUGUAAUUCUCUUGAAGUUUACAAGGAUAAUACGUCAUUUGUAAUCCAUAAUCUCAUUUUAGCUGGGGUAGGGGAGAUUAUGAGAUUAUAAUAAUCUGGUCAUCUAGUUUAUAAAAUCUACAAUAUAAACUGUUCUGUUUGGAAAUACAAUAGAUUAUAAAAAUUAGAUUAUAAUAAUGUCCAUCCAUCGACGUGCUUCUAGUCGGCGUACGUUUAUCCAUGGUCACCGGCCGGCCAAGUUUCUUUGACCGCAGCAAUCGAUUAACGGAUGAACCGGCCGGUCAAGAUUCCAUGUACACUAAGUCGCCAAGAUACAACCGUAUUUUUUUUGCGAACGAAAAACUUUCAUUAAUUAAAUGGGAUAAAAAAUUCCUCAUUAAAAAUAGUAUGAAUUUCUACCGGCGUACAACGAAGCCAUACUGCGGUUCGCUGAUCUACAUGACCCAUACAUGCAAGAGCGUCCGCGGCUUUAUUCCUGCUCUUAACCACAUGCGAUAUCGCCAAGAUACAACCGUAUUUGUUCCUAAUGCCUUCCAAAUCUAAUAUUUUUCUCACAGUUCACAUGUGUUUUGUUGCACAACACAUUUCACAUAUUCCCUCUACACGGCUUCCACAAAAUAAAAAUGAGGGGAAUUUUUUUUUAGUACUAUCCAU
This 764-nucleotide long non-coding RNA is filed under the name Hordeum vulgare. RNAcentral describes it as "long non-coding RNA (HVUL_LNC020530)". The record is from RNAcentral. Lineage: Eukaryota; Viridiplantae; Streptophyta; Magnoliopsida; Poales; Poaceae.